This 753-nucleotide ribosomal RNA is filed under the name Triticum aestivum (bread wheat). RNAcentral describes it as "partial small subunit ribosomal RNA". The record is from RNAcentral. Lineage: Eukaryota; Viridiplantae; Streptophyta; Magnoliopsida; Poales; Poaceae.
UUGGUGAGGGGCGGUCAAACGGCGGUGAACAUCAAUGGUGUAAUUGACCCGUUCUUUAGGAACAAGAGGGGUGUCCGUCAAGGGGACCCGGCGUCCCCACUCCUUUUUAACUUUAUUGCGGACGCUUUCGCACGUAUGCUGGGCCGGGCCAAGGAGGCGGAUCAUAUCUUGAGGGUGGCCGCUAGGGUGGUGCCUGGUGGCAUUAUUCACCUUCAAUACACGGACGAUACGUUAAUUUUCAUUAAGAAUUGCGAGAGGGAUAUUUUGAAUCUCAAGUUUUUUCUAAUGUGCUUUGAGGCGAUGUCGGGACUUAAGAUUAACUUUGACAAAAAUGAGGCAUUUGUGACUGGUGGGGAUUUGGAGUCGCAACUGCGCGUGGCUCGUAUGAUGAAUUGCCAGCUCGGAUCUAUCUCGAUGAAGUAUUUGGGGAUGCCAAUCUCGGCCCGAGCCCUUUCGAUGGUGGAUUUGGAUCCUAUGGUUGAUAAGGCGGCAAAGAGGGUAGAACCGUGGCAGGGGCGGCUCCUAGCAUCGGGUGGGAGACUGUUGCUCAUUAAUGAUUGUCUUACCAAUAUCCCCAUGUUCAUCAUGGUCUUCUACCUGCUUAGAGAUGGUGUCCACGCCAAGCUGGACAAAGUACGAUCUAGAUUUUUUUGGGCAAAGGAGAACGGGAAGCAACGAUACCAUAUGCUGAAAUGGGAGCACAUGCGCCAAAGGAGAAUGGGGGUCUCGGAGUUAUCAACUCCAAAGUCAUGA